UGACAGGUCCGCCAGCCGCUAGAUGGCUUGUUUCAGCCAUUCGGCCCGCCUCUUUGCCCAUUUUUGAUUGGCUUGGAGCUAGGCUGUGUCACGCACUGCCAUGAUGGCAACGGCCGGAGCGCUCGCCUUGAGCUUCAAAACCACUCUUUAGAAACCAACGGAACCACACACACCUGUAUAUACCUACCUGUUGGUAUUAAUAAACCAUUGAAGAGAGCAUCCCAGCAUCCCUUUGCCGAUGCACCACAGUGGUCACCUACCCCCUAACUAGCUACAGGUCAUGGCACAUUUGAUCUAUCUACCACUGCUGCUGAGUAUUUUGCGAACUGCCUUAUUAGAAUCCGUUAAGGGACAGUUCACCCAAAUAAAAAACAAAACAAAACAAUUUCUUCACCUGCAUCUAGUGGUAUCUAGCCAUGCAGAUAUAGUUAGGAUUUACUUAAUUGUGUUUCGAGAUAUCUGACAUUUCAAUCACCAUCCCAAUGAAACAGAAGUGAAUGGAAUUUAGUUUGUGGUGCUCACUGAAAAAUUACAUUUAAAAAAUGUGUUGUCUCAUCCACAGGUCUGUGGAUUAUCUGAAGUAACAGGAACACUGCAAUUUAGGUGGCAGGCACUUUAAUGGAGGGAUUUUUGUUAAUCUCUCAUUAAUCUCUCUUCCUUUAUGUUUAGUUACAUUUUUAUUACUCGGCUUUGUUGAAUACUCAAUUACGGCAUUCUAUGGUCUGUUAUUUAUGAAUAGCAGGCUGCUGCCAUGAAUAGCAGACCGUUGCUAAGGAUGCAAUUCUGUUCAUAGUCUCUGAAGGACCAUGUCAAAUCAUAUCAGAAAGAAGUCCAGUUAAAUUAACAACUACAGCUAAUUCGCAACACGUUGUGGUAGCAAAAAUGUUAGCGACAAUGUCUGUGACUGGGCACAGAUGUGACAGCAGCCCGAACAGCUACUGGGCUCCAACCAUUACAGAAAGAGAAAAGUUUAGCAAGAUCCUGUCCUCCAAUCCAGGCAACAGCAGCAGAUCUGGUGAGCGCCUCUCUUAGUUGCGUAUCACUACACACUGACUUAAGUGAUAAAAGGUAGUGAUAGGCUAAUAUUAAUAUUGUUACCAGUUGAAACAUUAGUAGCAAUUGUGUUUCCAGGUGUGUCAACUGCAAAGCCCUGCCAGGAAGGAAACAGAUGAGUGACAGAAACGUCAUGAUCUUAAGAAGGCUACAGAGCUUUCAUAGAUAUUUACGUUGCUAUGCACGCAGUUCCAACAGUAGAAUCUAACAGACAAUUUUUUAGCGGAAGCAAUAAAAUAAUUUUUAAAUCAAUAUUUUGUCAGAUUAUUGAUUUCUUUAGUAAAUAGCCCUGUUAUAAGCAGGACAAUAUACAGCAAGUGGGUCAUUAUUGCAAAAAGAACCCCAACAGAGUGAUGCAGGACCACAACGCGAAGUGGAGCGCUCGCUGUAGACAUUAUCCCUUACUUAUAUCACUGCAGAUUUUUUAUAAAAAGGUCAUAGGUGGCCCUGGUUCACUUAAUAUUGUAAUAAAUCUGAGUUCGAAUAGAGACCAGAAGUUAUGUAGGGUAAAUGUCAGAGACCUCAGAACAAACAAUACCUGACCACAAAGAAUAGCAGGCAAAGCAAUAAUCUUUAUUAAAUUAAGAUCAAUUAGAAAAGGGUCCCUGGAGUUUGACUAGAUGGGAGAGUUAUCAAACUUUAGGGGGGGGGGGUCAGGACUAGACACACUAUAAGAAAUAUACACACCACCAUCCAGGGAUGCAAAACACACAUCAGGGAUAAGACCACAUCACUACAGACUUGAGAACCCGCCACACUACACACAGUGGAGUUACACUUUUAAGUUAUAAGAAAGAGGGUGAGACCAAUACAAAGUCUCCCCACGCCCGGGACCUAACUCAACCCCACCCAGCUUGUGGCAACAUCCAACUCGGGGCACCACAGCUCCAUCGAAAAACAACAAAAACAACAAAAAAUACAAUAUAACCCAGAUUAUUGCUAUCAAAAGCAAUAAUGAUGCUAAUCCACCUCAUACAUACUUAAAUAUUGUUUAAAUGUAUUCCCAAAUGUGUGCAUUCCCAAAGUAUACUCCUUGUGUAAGAUCUAUAAAACACUCCUGGAUAUCAUGGUGAGUUGACUGGCAUUUGUAGAAAAGGACAGAGAAUGUGAGGAUGUGCAGUGUGUGUCUCUCUGUGUGUGUGUAAAUGUGUAUUCUGUAAAUAUAAACACCUUCCACAAAUACAAAAAAAGAUUUGUAAACUCACAAAAAUAUUUUGCAAAUAUAAAACGGAUGUGCAAAUACAAACUAAUUCCUCAAAUAAAAAAUAAUAUCUGUGAAUACAUUAAAUUAAUUUAAAAAUAAAUGAAAAGCAUUUGUGAAUAUCUUCCUAACAUUUACAACUUUCCAACAGGAAUCUUUAUUUGUGAAUCGACAAAACAUUUGUGGAUCUCAGUUCUACGCUUGUGGAUUUGCUUUUUACACACAUUUUACACGAGUAUUGAGACAAACAUUCCGUCGGUCCGAAUGAAAAUCCACUCGUAUCACUCCAUCAUUUUCGGAUAGCACGUGAUCACCUGCUGACGACGUCAUUUCCGCAUUUCCAAGUAAGAGCAUGCAGUCUUUCUAUGCUUUCUAUGAGCUGUUUUUUUUUUCGGCAAUAAGUAACGUGCAUUUAUUGUUUUAUGUUAAUGUCAUACAGUGAGUAUUAGUGUGUUUUUAUUUGUUUUAUGUAUAUUAUGUAGCUCACACUUUCGUAUACAUUCUGUUUGAGUAUGAAGGGCUCGAGGAUGCUUGUGGGCUCUCCAAAGCAGCUUGGUUGCUUCUUCAGUUAGCAGCUAGCAGCCACCUCAUCCUUUAUAUUUGUCAUUUAUUCUUUCAGGUGGGUAAAAGUCACAAAGCACUUCACAUCUUAUUAGUAGUCUACUCUAACUAAUGUAGUUCUAAUGUCUGUGCUGAACUGCACCGUGUUUAGUUAGAUAGGUGUUUUGUUUGUUUUAUUCUCUCCACAACCGUGCACCUGAUAGACUUGGAACUGUGCACACCGCUACUUCUUACUAGAUCAACAGCCAAUGGUUUCCAUGGCAAUUACAUGAAAACCUUUGUUUCCAAAGAGGUAAAUGAAUGAGAACAAAUAAAUGUUACAAAAUCCAUUUUAAAAAGUAAUCAAGUACAAAAGACACAUACACAGACAAAUGUGCACAGAAAGUAUGAAAGCUGAAAGAAAAUUAUCAUUCGUCCAUAUCAUAAACUUACAAUACACAGAAAAACUAAUCUGCCCAUGAUAGCGAUACAUUGACAAAACAGCUAUAAACAAAUCACAAUGUAAGCUCUCCUCUUUGUGGUCUUGAUUUGAUCUUUGUGAUCUUGUUUCCCUCGAAACUAAACAAAAAAAAAGAAAAGAAAAAAAUUAAAUAAUAAUAAUGAUAAUAACAAUAAUAAUGAUAAUAAUAAUAAUAAUACCAUAUAUGGUUUCACCUACAUUUAUGUUGAGAAGUCUACAAUUGUCUACAAUUCAGUAUGAAGUUUUUUAGGAAUCAACAGUCAGAUUUUUGUUUCAUGAAAGUAUUAUCAUAUCUUGUGAUACUUGCUGUUCAUUUUAAGGUUCAUUACAGUUUUUCCACUCCCAUGUGUUUAGUUGAGGAGAAACACCCUGCUUAGGGCAGAACUGAGUAGAGUUGAAUUUGAAAAAAUGCAGACGUCCACAGGUGUUGUCAACCUGCUUAUUGAGACCGCAACUUAUAAAUUUCAUGCAGUUGAAAGACUAAACAAAAUCUGGCCUAGCAUUGUUGUGUGACAUGGUGAGUGCAUAGCAUGUCUUACAAACAUGAGGGUGCAGGUCCAAUUCCACCCAUUGCUGAUUUUAAUCUUAAUCUAGAUUUUUCAAUAGCGUUCAGCUUCCAGUAAUGCAAAAAUAAAUCAGCUUUCAGCAAUCACACGCAAUUUCUUCAGAAAUUGCAUUUUCCAGUUAUCAAAUCAGAUUCCUCCACGAUCCCUAAACACCAAUUGCGACUCAGCUGUCAAACUUUAAAAUCUGUUUCCCUCUCUGUCACUGUCAGCUGUCAUUCCAGAGCAAUCAUCGAGACUCAGUGGGUCAUGCUGCUGCAUGCGUGCAUCUGUCGUCAUGCAAGUCGUUGUAUCAGUACGCCACAAGCUAUGAUCUGAAUACGGCCUACUCAUAUCAAGGUUGCUCCUCUGCCUCUUAUCUCAUUUCCCUGCUUUUUGGCUAUCCUUUGCAUCGUCAUUGGCCUUUUCCCAUCAUAGGGGACGUUGGCUCUUCUCCCUGCUUCAUGUAAUAUCCUUUUCAUUCUUCUCACACCUUGAGUCUGCAUAUUUUGGAGCAUCCUAACACUACGUCUUUGCAAUGGUCUUUGACUAGCUGGUUAUCAUGGUACUACAAUCAAUGUAUCAACACAUCUGCUUCUGUUAUUAGGGCUACUGGGUGCGUCCCCCCAGACUGACACUGUUUUAUGUCAACUUUUUCACCAUCCAGAUGAAUCACAGGCUGCAGUUCUACUAUGGAAAGGGGGACAAUUACCUGCUUUUAGGUGGACUUCAGAUGAAGAGGGACUGCUUGUUCCCUGUGGCUGUUGGAGAGGAACUGACGCCUGCUGAUACAAAACCUCCUGGACAACUUUUGGUAUUUAAUUUCCCAAUUAUAGACAAUUAAAGGUCCCCUUUGGAUUCCUACUAAAAGAGACACUUUUUUAAAAAAAAUUGAAGACAGUUUAGGUUGUACUAGUCCAUGGACUCAGAAAUGACACUUUACUGUUACUGAUUCGUUACCAGGGUUCAAUUUGUUAUGCAUCUAUAACUAUCCUAUUCAUUUUAAUGGAAGUGUAAGUUUCCUACAAUUACAUGUCUAUAAAGUAUGUAAGGAAGUAAAACAAAGAUACUCUGUGAUGACUUUAAGUAUAAUAAGGAUAUGCUCCAGUACAGCAAUUCAUACAAAUAACUGGAUGUAAGUAGUAAACUGCUGUGAGACCCUAAAUAAAUUCUGCUACACUCUAUUCUUGUUACACCCA
Long non-coding RNA from Thunnus maccoyii (southern bluefin tuna), 5016 nucleotides. RefSeq lists it as uncharacterized. Lineage: Eukaryota; Metazoa; Chordata; Actinopteri; Scombriformes; Scombridae. The record is from RefSeq and is a predicted model, not a curated record. The transcript is spliced from 4 exons.